CAAAGGCUUGGUCCUGACUUUAACAUCAACUUUAGCUAUACUUACACAUGCAAGUAUCCGCACCCCUGUGAGAAUGCCCCCCAGUUCCCCGUCCGGGAACAAGGAGCUGGUAUCAGGCACACUUUGAAGCCCACGACGCCUUGCUUAGCCACACCCCCAAGGGAAUUCAGCAGUGACAAACAUUAAGCUAUAAGUGAAAACUUGACUUAGUUAAAGCUAAGAGGGCCGGUAAAACUCGUGCCAGCCACCGCGGUUAUACGAGAGGCCCAAGUUGAUGAACAUCGGCGUAAAGAGUGGUUAAGCUAAAAUUAAAACUAAAGCCGAACGUCCCCAAAGCUGUUAUACGCACCCGGGGGUAAGAAGUUCAACCACGAAGGUGGCUUUAUUAAACCUGAACCCACGAAAGCUACGGCACAAACUGGGAUUAGAUACCCCACUAUGCCUAGCCCUAAACAUUGAUAGAAUUUUACAACCUCUAUGCCGCCCGGGGACUACAAGCAUCAGCUUGAAACCCAAAGGACUUGGCGGUGCUUUAGAUCCACCUAGAGGAGCCUGUUCUAGAACCGAUAACCCCCGUUCAACCUCACCCCUCUUUGUUAAUACCGCCUAUAUACCACCGUCGUCAGCUUACCCUGUGAGGGACCAAUAGUAAGCUUAACUGGUACAACCCUAAACGUCAGGUCGAGGUGUAGCGUAUGGAGGGGGAAGAAAUGGGCUACAUUCGCUACAACAGCGAACACGAAUGAUGUCCUGAAACGUACAUCUGAAGGAGGAUUUAGCAGUAAGUAGAAAAUAGAGUGUUCUACUGAAAUUGGCCCUGAAGCGCGCACACAUCGCCCGUCACUCUCCCCAAGCCUAAUAAUACAAUUAACUAAAAACUAAUAAUUGCAAAGGGGAGGCAAGUCGUAACAUAGUAAGUGUACCGGAAGGUGCACUUGGAAAAG
Molecule: non-coding RNA, 944 nt
Filed under: Pungitius pungitius (ninespine stickleback)
Lineage: Eukaryota; Metazoa; Chordata; Actinopteri; Perciformes; Gasterosteidae
Description: 12S rRNA
Rfam family: Bacterial small subunit ribosomal RNA
Source: RNAcentral